UUAAUUGUAGAGUAGUAUGAAGGGUUUAACAAUGGAUAACUGUUUAUUUUUAAUAAUGUAAUUUAAAUUUUAAGUAAAAAUGCUUAAAUAAAAUAAAGGGACAAUAAGACCCUAAAAGCUUUAAUCAGUUAUUAAGUUAAGUUAAUUUAUUGAAGAUUUAAAAUAAAUGUUAUUAGCUGGGGUAGUUUAUUUAUAAAAUUUAGAUUUUGUAAAAACUAGAAUUAGGUUAUACGAUCUUUUUUAUAAAGAUGUAUUGAAUUAGUUACUUUAGGGAUAACAGCGUGAUAAUUUUGGAGAGAACAUAUCAAUAAAGUUGAUUGCGACCUCGAUGUUGAAUUAGGAAAGUUUUAUGGUGCAGAAGAUAUAGAAUGUGG
Molecule: ribosomal RNA, 374 nt
Filed under: Stygobromus sp. 1 AGC-2019
Lineage: Eukaryota; Metazoa; Arthropoda; Malacostraca; Amphipoda; Crangonyctidae
Description: partial large subunit ribosomal RNA
Source: RNAcentral